RNAcentral lists this long non-coding RNA (1690 nucleotides) under Ornithorhynchus anatinus (platypus). Its description in RNAcentral is "lncRNA (ENSOANG00000041722.1)". Lineage: Eukaryota; Metazoa; Chordata; Mammalia; Monotremata; Ornithorhynchidae. The record is from RNAcentral.
AUGUGCCUCUCUCUACCUAAAGAUGGAUUAUUGAUGACGACGAUUGAUGGCCACGCUGCUUCCGUAUUAAGGGCUAACUCGGUUCGUGCUACUAGACCCUGCUCCGUUGGAGUGAAAAUAAAGGCAGAGUCAGAGACGGCAUUCGGAACAUCAAGAUUUUGGAUUGUGUGGGCCAUCCUGACUAACGAAGAGGUCGCCUUCUCCCCUCCCCACCGUGUAUUAAUUCUCUGGCUGAGACACCGUGAACUGGGCAGAGAUUGACGGCAAUUCCCUGGAGCUAAAAGUCUCCCCGUUGAAAACGUAACCAGAUAGCCAGCGAACACAAAACAUCUGCUCCAACUUCCUAUUAAAUAUAUUUAUAGACGGCAGUUUGCAAAGCAAGACGUCGCUUCCCAAGAACGUGAAAACGUCGAGGUCCUCACAACCGCCGCUCGUCCUCACGACCGCUGCUCGCCAGUGACAGCAGCCAAGAUUCUCUAGGUGGCAUUGUCGGCGUGCCGUGAAGGGCUCUGGGAUCAUGCCAGGAACAGCUGCUUCUGAGGGUGAGUAGAGCACUGAAUUAAGCAUAGAGAGCACGAGAGCGGGAUUCAGAGGACCUGUAUCCUCAUCCCGGCUCCGCCUCGGGCAAAUCACUCAACAGCUCUUUGCCUGUUUCCCCAUCUAUAAAAUGGGGACGAGAUACCUACUUCCCUCUUAGACCGCGAGUCCGGUGUGGUACAGGGACGGUGUCCAAUUUAAUUAUCUUGUAUCUACCGCAGCUCUUAGCGUCGAGAAUCGGCGUUUAAUAAAAAACAUAAUAAAUGAAAGCUCAAGAGAAAACUGUCAUAAAUGCCAAAUAGCACCCAAGCAUUGUGGAGAUGGACACUGAGCUAUGCUGUUUCAAGGCAAAACAGCGAUGUUUCUGCUCGAUCGGUCACCCUUCCUUCUUUCAUCUCCUCUCCUCUGAAGCUAAGUUCACCGAGAACUUUAAAGAUGCCCUCUAAAGUUAUUAGGGAUAGUAAUUGAAAUAGUUUUGGGCUGACAGUAAAGUCGAUGGCGGAAAUUAUUCAGGCUCUUAAAAUGGGAUAAUAAACCCACUUUCUUCCUCCUGGAAUCAGCUCAUUUAAUUAGAAAGAUCUUAAUAAAUUCAGCUUGAUUAACUCCAACCUUGUGGUGGAAGGUUACCCACUGUUGUAGAGAUAAUUGUAAACGGAGGGGGAAAAAAUAAAAAUUAGAACAAAAGAGAAGGAAGAAAACAUUCAUUACUAAAGGAAUCCGGAGAUCUGGGUUAAUUAUGCCGAAGGAACCUUGGAGAAACAUGUGCUGGUGUGAUGGUUGCUUUAGUUGAGUUGCAGAAUGGCAUUUGGGUUUAGUUUAUUUGGCUCCAUCAGUCAAUCAAUGGUAUUUAUUGAGCGCUUAUUAUGUGCAGAGCACUGAACUAAACGCUUGGGAGGGUACAAGUAAGCUACUACUGAAAGCUCCCUCCUGAAAGCUAAACUCCUCCAGGAGGCCUUCCCAGACUUAGCCCCCCUUUUCCACGGCUCCCUACCCUCUCUCCAUCUCCCCGACUCACUCCCUUUGCUCUACCCGCCUCCCCGCCCCACAGCGCUUGUGUACGUAUGUACAUAUUUAUAAUUACAAUUCUGUUUAUUUUUAUUAAUGAUGUGUAUCUAUCUAUAAAUCUAUUUAUUUAUAAUGUUGCUAUUGAAGA